UACGGAGGAGGCAAGCGUUAUCCGGAAUUAUUGGGCGUAAAGCGUCCGCAGGUGGCACCUCAAGUCUGCUGUCAAAGACCGGGGCUUAACCCCAGAAAGGCAGUGGAAACUGAAGUGCUAGAGUGCAGUAGGGGUAGAGGGAAUUCCCGGUGUAGCGGUGAAAUGCGUAGAGAUCGGGAAGAACAUCGGUGGCGAAAGCGCUCUGCUGGACCAUAACUGACACUCAGGGACGAAAGCUAGGGGAGCGAAUGGG
RNAcentral lists this ribosomal RNA (253 nucleotides) under uncultured bacterium. RNAcentral describes it as "partial 16S ribosomal RNA". It matches the Rfam family "Bacterial small subunit ribosomal RNA", at positions 524 to 776 of the family's 1533-position model. The record is from RNAcentral.